This 1387-nucleotide ribosomal RNA is filed under the name Pediococcus acidilactici. Its description in RNAcentral is "16S ribosomal RNA". It matches the Rfam family "Bacterial small subunit ribosomal RNA", at positions 93 to 1465 of the family's 1533-position model. The record is from RNAcentral. Lineage: Bacteria; Bacillati; Bacillota; Bacilli; Lactobacillales; Lactobacillaceae.
GAGUGGCGGACGGGUGAGUAACACGUGGGUAACCUGCCCAGAAGCAGGGGAUAACACCUGGAAACAGAUGCUAAUACCGUAUAACAGAGAAAACCGCCUGGUUUUCUUUUAAAAGAUGGCUCUGCUAUCACUUCUGGAUGGACCCGCGGCGCAUUAGCUAGUUGGUGAGGUAACGGCUCACCAAGGCGAUGAUGCGUAGCCGACCUGAGAGGGUAAUCGGCCACAUUGGGACUGAGACACGGCCCAGACUCCUACGGGAGGCAGCAGUAGGGAAUCUUCCACAAUGGACGCAAGUCUGAUGGAGCAACGCCGCGUGAGUGAAGAAGGGUUUCGGCUCGUAAAGCUCUGUUGUUAAAGAAGAACGUGGGUGAGAGUAACUGUUCACCCAGUGACGGUAUUUAACCAGAAAGCCACGGCUAACUACGUGCCAGCAGCCGCGGUAAUACGUAGGUGGCAAGCGUUAUCCGGGAUUUAUUGGGCGUAAAGCGAGCGCAGGCGGUCUUUUAAGUCUAAUGUGAAAGCCUUCGGCUCAACCGAAGAAGUGCAUUGGAAACUGGGAGACUUGAGUGCAGAAGAGGACAGUGGAACUCCAUGUGUAGCGGUGAAAUGCGUAGAUAUAUGGAAGAACACCAGUGGCGAAGGCGGCUGUCUGGUCUGUAACUGACGCUGAGGCUCGAAAGCAUGGGUAGCGAACAGGAUUAGAUACCCUGGUAGUCCAUGCCGUAAACGAUGAUUACUAAGUGUUGGAGGGUUUCCGCCCUUCAGUGCUGCAGCUAACGCAUUAAGUAAUCCGCCUGGGGAGUACGACCGCAAGGGUUGAAACUCAAAAGAAUUGACGGGGGCCCGCACAAGCGGUGGAGCAUGUGGUUUAAUUCGAAGCUACGCGAAGAACCUUACCAGGUCUUGACAUCUUCUGCCAACCUAAGAGAUUAGGCGUUCCCUUCGGGGACAGAAUGACAGGUGGUGCAUGGUUGUCGUCAGCUCGUGUCGUGAGAUGUUGGGUUAAGUCCCGCAACGAGCGCAACCCUUAUUACUAGUUGCCAGCAUUCAGUUGGGCACUCUAGUGAGACUGCCGGUGACAAACCGGAGGAAGGUGGGGACGACGUCAAAUCAUCAUGCCCCUUAUGACCUGGGCUACACACGUGCUACAAUGGAUGGUACAACGAGUCGCGAAACCGCGAGGUUUAGCUAAUCUCUUAAAACCAUUCUCAGUUCGGACUGUAGGCUGCAACUCGCCUACACGAAGUCGGAAUCGCUAGUAAUCGCGGAUCAGCAUGCCGCGGUGAAUACGUUCCCGGGCCUUGUACACACCGCCCGUCACACCAUGAGAGUUUGUAACACCCAAAGCCGGUGGGGUAACCUUUUAGGAGCUAGCCGUCUAAAGUGU